Molecule: long non-coding RNA, 1097 nt
Organism: Strigops habroptila (Kakapo)
Lineage: Eukaryota; Metazoa; Chordata; Aves; Psittaciformes; Psittacidae
Exons: 2
Source: RefSeq, a predicted model, not a curated record
GCCGCCGGCCGGACCCUUCGCCGUUGGCAGCGCGUCCGGAAACGCCUCCCGACCGCAGGCGUGCGUGGCAGCCAGGGGCUGCGGCCGCGGAACAGCGGCGGUCGUGCCUCACUCUGCCUGCCCGCCGCUGAAGGUGACGAGCAGCACAUGUGCCCCUCGCAGCCCCCGUGGACUGCGGCGCAGCAUAACCGCACUAAACUUCAUGCGAGUGCUGUGCUGCCGAGACAACAGAGCUGUGUUGGGGUCCAGUACGGUCUUUCCCCACCGCGUGCCUUUUCCCGGCGAUGGCAGUUUCCCUGUCAGUCCAGGGGAGACGGAGGGUGUCCCUCCCCCGCCGUUCAGCACAAGCAUUGUGCAGCGAGGCUGUGCCUAUAAAAGAGAAGUGCUGGGCCCUGCUCUACUGCUCGGACUUUCACGUGCAUGGGAGAACUCGGGGACCUCGAAGCUCACCGGUAUCAUACAGACAGGUUAAUGUUGUUCAUAUCACAGCACUUCAGUAUCAGUAUCAUUUUAGGCUGGCGUAAAAUAACUGCGAAGCAGUUCCAGAUGCAAAAUUGCUGCAGGGUCAGGCCCCACACCUGUGGGAGACCAUACCUUAAGGUGACUGUCUCAAAGCUUGUUUGCAAUCCUGAUGAGCUCAUUGCGAGACUUCCUGACAGUUUAACCAAGCUCAGCUGCUGUGAACAGAUAAGGGACAAACAGCCACCCGAAACCAGUUUCGACCAAGGUCAAGAACGGUCAUGUCACUUUGGGGGAUGUGCCUGAGCAUGGGUGACCACCCCAACCUGCCAAGGCAUGCGCAGUCCACGGCAAAUGAUCAUGCAGUAAUCACAUGAGCUCCACGGCAGGACUGAGAGCAUGCACAGGAAUGCAGUAAGACUCUACAAAGGACUGUGCGAUGAAACGGCUGGUGGGACCCUCAUCACCAAAGUACACAGAGACUACGGACCAAUGGGAUGCUGCUGGAUCCAUGAUGGUGACUAUCUCUUGCAACUCUAUCCCGAAUGUUUGCUAGAUUUAUUUCCUUUCCAUUUUCUCUCUCUUUCGUAUCGCUAUUUUCCUACCACAGUAAAUAAAUACUUGGUUUAGACAAGUAA